UGUUCAGUGGUGAAUGUGAGUGCUGUGACUCUCUCCUGGUACAAAGGAAACAGUUUAUUGUUCAGCAUCAGUGUGUCUGAUCUCAGCAGAAGUCUUUCUUUACAUCUGGAGUGUCUGGAUGAUUUCUACAGCUGUGUGGUGAACAAUCCCAUCAGAAACCAGACCACACAUCUCAACACUCAACUCUGUCAGACAUGUUCAGUUCAGACCGGUGACAGAGAGAUCACUUCUGCUGAUCCAAAAUUUCACAAAAGACAUAAAUCAAGAGCUACAGAGCAGGAUAAUGUGGUGUACGCAGGAGUCUCAAGACGCUGAUCAACUCUUGAUCAAAAUGUGAUUCUGUUUUUGAUUACUAACUUUAUCCCAAACACAGAGACAGGAGACAGAAUCACAUGUUCUUUGUGAAUAGAGAUAAAUGCCCAUUAAAUGUCAUUUUGUCAUAGUUACACAUAUAUUUGAAAAAAGAAAGAUUACUGUUAUUAUUUCACUCUAUGCCAGAAUAUUUUUGUGAGUUUGCCUGUCUGUGCUCUCUCUCUCUCUCUCUCUCUCUCUCUCUCUCUCUUUCACCCUCCCUUUCUCUCCCCUCGUC
This is a long non-coding RNA of Carassius auratus (goldfish), 589 nucleotides long. RefSeq lists it as uncharacterized. The record is from RefSeq and is a predicted model, not a curated record. The transcript is spliced from 3 exons. Lineage: Eukaryota; Metazoa; Chordata; Actinopteri; Cypriniformes; Cyprinidae.